Molecule: ribosomal RNA, 346 nt
Filed under: uncultured bacterium
Lineage: Bacteria
Description: bacterial SSU rRNA
Rfam family: Bacterial small subunit ribosomal RNA
Source: RNAcentral
AGGGUUUGAUUAUGGCUCAGGAUGAACGCUGGCGGCGUGCUUAACACAUGCAAGUCGAACGAAGCACUUUUAUUUGAUUUCUUCGGAAUGAAGAUUUUAGUGACUGAGUGGCGGACGGGUGAGUAACGCGUGGGUAACCUGCCUCAUACAGGGGGAUAACAGUUAGAAAUGACUGCUAAUACCGCAUAAGACCACAGCACCGCAUGGUGCAGGGGUAAAAACUCCGGUGGUAUGAGAUGGACCCGCGUCUGAUUAGGUAGUUGGUGGGGUAACGGCCUACCAAGCCGACGAUCAGUAGCCGACCUGAGAGGGUGACCGGCCACAUUGGGACUGAGACACGGCCCAA